GGACCCGCACAAGCGGUGGAGCAUGUGGUUUAAUUUGACGCAACGCGGAGAACCUUACCAGCCCUUGACAUCCCGGUCGCGAGGAGUGGAGACACACCUCUUCAGUUCGGCUGGACCGGUGACAGGUGGUGCACGGCUGUCGUCAGCUCGUGUCGUGAGAUGUUCGGUUAAGUCCGGCAACGAGCGCAACCCCUAUUGUUAGUUGCCAGCAUUAAGUUGGGGACUCUAACGAUACUGCCAGUGAUAAGCUGGAGGAAGGCGGGGAUGACGUCAAGUCAUCAUGCCCUUUAUGGGCUGGGCUACACACGUGCUACAAUGGUGGUGACAGUGGGCAGCGACUUCGCGAGGAGGAGCAAAUCCCUAAAAACCAUCUCAGUUCGGAUUGUACUCUGCAACUCGAGUGCAUGAAGUUGGAAUCGCUAGUAAUCG
This 429-nucleotide ribosomal RNA is filed under the name uncultured bacterium. Its description in RNAcentral is "bacterial SSU rRNA". It matches the Rfam family "Bacterial small subunit ribosomal RNA", at positions 917 to 1344 of the family's 1533-position model. The record is from RNAcentral.